GUGCUCGCUUCAGCAGCACAUAUACUAAAAUUGGAACGAUACAGAGAUUAGCAUGGCUCCCGGGCAAGGGUGACAUGCAAAUUUGUGAAGGGUUCCAUAUUAAA
Small nuclear RNA from Lutra lutra (Eurasian river otter), 104 nucleotides. The record is from RefSeq and is a predicted model, not a curated record. Lineage: Eukaryota; Metazoa; Chordata; Mammalia; Carnivora; Mustelidae.